RNAcentral lists this ribosomal RNA (483 nucleotides) under uncultured bacterium. Its description in RNAcentral is "bacterial SSU rRNA". It matches the Rfam family "Bacterial small subunit ribosomal RNA", at positions 8 to 518 of the family's 1533-position model. The record is from RNAcentral.
AGAGUUUGAUUAUGGCUCAGAACGAACGCUGGCGGCAUGGAUUAGGCAUGCAAGUCGAACGAAGUAGCAAUACUUAGUGGCGCAAGGGUGAGGAACGCGUGAGUGACCUACCCGCAAGUUGGAACAGCUCCUGGAAACGGGAAUUAAUACCGGAUGUGAUCAAUGAGCUGCAUGGUUUAUUGAUUAAAGCAGUAAUGCGCUUGCGGAUGGGCUCGCGUCCCAUUAGCUAGUUGGUGAGGUAACGGCCCACCAAGGCCAUGAUGGGUAGCUGGUCUGAGAGGACGACCAGCCACACUGGGACUGAGAACUGCCCAGACUCCUACGGGAGGCUGCAGUCGAGAAUUUUGGGCAAUGGACGAAAGUCUGACCCAAGCAAUGCCGCGUGCGGGAUGAAGGUCUUCGGAUUGUAAACCGCUGUUUGGAGGGACGAAAAUUGACGGUACUUCCAGAGAAAGCCACGGCUAACUACGUGCCAGCAGCUGC